AUACGGAGGGUGCAAGCGUUGUUCGGAAUCAUUGGGUUUAAAGGGUCCGUAGGCGGGUUUGUAAGUCAGUGGUGAAAGUUUUCGGCUCAACCGGAAAAUUGCCAUUGAUACUGCAAGUCUUGAAUCAUUAUGAAGUGGUUAGAAUGUGUAGUGUAGCGGUGAAAUGCAUAGAUAUUACACAGAAUACCGAUUGCGAAGGCAGAUCACUAAUAAUGUAUUGACGCUAAGGGACGAAAGCGUGGGUAGCGAACAGGAUUAGAUACCCCAGUAGUCC
RNAcentral lists this ribosomal RNA (274 nucleotides) under uncultured bacterium. Its description in RNAcentral is "partial 16S ribosomal RNA". It matches the Rfam family "Bacterial small subunit ribosomal RNA", at positions 523 to 796 of the family's 1533-position model. The record is from RNAcentral.